RNAcentral lists this ribosomal RNA (460 nucleotides) under uncultured bacterium. Its description in RNAcentral is "partial 16S ribosomal RNA". It matches the Rfam family "Bacterial small subunit ribosomal RNA", at positions 338 to 795 of the family's 1533-position model. The record is from RNAcentral.
CCUACGGGAGGCUGCAGUGAGGAAUAUUGGUCAAUGGACGAGAGUCUGAACCAGCCAAGUAGCGUGAAGGAUGACUGCCCUAUGGGUUGUAAACUUCUUUUAUAUGGGAAUAAAAUGUUCCACGUGUGGGAUUUUGUAUGUACCAUAUGAAUAAGGAUCGGCUAACUCCGUGCCAGCAGCCGCGGUAAUACGGAGGAUCCGAGCGUUAUCCGGAUUUAUUGGGUUUAAAGGGAGCGUAGGUGGAUUGUUAAGUCAGUUGUGAAAGUUUGCGGCUCAACCGUAAAAUUGCAGUUGAAACUGGCAGUCGUGAGUACAGUAGAGGUGGGCGGAAUUCGUGGUGUAGCGGUGAAAUGCUUAGAUAUCACGAAGAACUCCGAUUGCGAAGGCAGCUCACUGGACUGCAACUGACACUGAGGCUCGAAAGUGUGGGUAUCAAACAGGAUUAGAGACCCCAGUAGUC